Molecule: ribosomal RNA, 456 nt
Filed under: uncultured bacterium
Lineage: Bacteria
Description: partial 16S ribosomal RNA
Rfam family: Bacterial small subunit ribosomal RNA
Source: RNAcentral
CCUACGGGUGGCAGCAGUGGGGAAUAUUGCACAAUGGGGGAAACGCUGAUGCAGCGACGCCGCGUGAGUGAAGAAGUAUUUCGGUAUGUAAAGCUCUAUCAGCAGGGAAGAAAUAUAGUCCUUCGUACUUUGGACGGUACCUGACUAAGAAACCCCUGCUAACUACGUGCCAGCAGCCGCGCUAAUACGGAAGGCCCGCGCGUUAUCCGGUUUCAUUGGGCUUUAAGGGAGCGUAGUCGGGCGUUCAAGUCAGCUGUAAAAUCGCGCGGCGCAACCGGGCCGCGCAGUUGAUACUGGACGCCUGGAGUUCAGAAGAGGCAGGAGGAAUUCGUGGUGUAGCGGUGAAAUGCAUAGAUAUCACGAGGAACCCCGAUUGCGAAGGCAGCCUGCCGGGGUGCGACUGACGCUGAGGCUCGAAGGUGCGGGUAUCAAACAGGAUUAGAUACCCUUGUAGUC